RNAcentral lists this ribosomal RNA (595 nucleotides) under Hylemonella sp. RNAcentral's name for it is "bacterial SSU rRNA". It matches the Rfam family "Bacterial small subunit ribosomal RNA", at positions 133 to 723 of the family's 1533-position model. The record is from RNAcentral. Lineage: Bacteria; Pseudomonadati; Pseudomonadota; Betaproteobacteria; Burkholderiales; Comamonadaceae.
GACGUGGGGGAUAGCUCGGCGAAAGCCGGAUUAAUACCGCAUAAGCUCUGAGGAGGAAAGCGGGGGACCGUAAGGCCUCGCGCGUUUGGAGCGGCCGAUGGCAGAUUAGGUAGUUGGUGGGGUAAAGGCUUACCAAGCCUACGAUCUGUAGCUGGUCUGAGAGGACGACCAGCCACACUGGGACUGAGACACGGCCCAGACUCCUACGGGAGGCAGCAGUGGGGAAUUUUGGACAAUGGGCGAAAGCCUGAUCCAGCAAUGCCGCGUGCAGGAUGAAGGCCUUCGGGUUGUAAACUGCUUUUGUACGGAACGAAAAGGCGCCUACUAAUACUGGGUGUUGAUGACGGUACCGUAAGAAUAAGCACCGGCUAACUACGUGCCAGCAGCCGCGGUAAUACGUAGGGUGCAAGCGUUAAUCGGAAUUACUGGGCGUAAAGCGUGCGCAGGCGGUGUUGUAAGACAGUUGUGAAAUCCCCGGGCUCAACCUGGGAACUGCAUCUGUGACUGCAAUGCUGGAGUGCGGCAGAGGGGGAUGGAAUUCCGCGUGUAGCAGUGAAAUGCGUAGAUAUGCGGAGGAACACCGAUGGCGAAGGCA